GCUGGGUGUUGUGGCGGACGCCUGUAAUCCCAGCUAUGUGGGAGGCUGAGGCAAGAGAAUCACUUGAGCCCAGGAGUCUGAGGUUUUUGAAUGAUGACACUUUACCAGGGCAACAAAGUGAUUCUCUGUCUCAA
This 134-nucleotide non-coding RNA is filed under the name Otolemur garnettii (small-eared galago). Lineage: Eukaryota; Metazoa; Chordata; Mammalia; Primates; Galagidae. The record is from Rfam by way of RNAcentral.